This 73-nucleotide transfer RNA is filed under the name Candidatus Micrarchaeota archaeon CG10_big_fil_rev_8_21_14_0_10_45_29. Its description in RNAcentral is "tRNA-His". It matches the Rfam family "tRNA". Rfam says of the family: Transfer RNA (tRNA) molecules are approximately 80 nucleotides in length. Their secondary structure includes four short double-helical elements and three loops (D, anti-codon, and T loops). Lineage: Archaea; Nanobdellati; Microcaldota. The record is from RNAcentral.
GCUAAGGUGGUGUAGCCUGGUAGCACGGGGGGUUGUGGUCCCCUUAGCCUGGGUUCAAAUCCCAGCCUUGGCC